Molecule: long non-coding RNA, 422 nt
Organism: Oryzias melastigma (Indian medaka)
Lineage: Eukaryota; Metazoa; Chordata; Actinopteri; Beloniformes; Adrianichthyidae
Exons: 2
Source: RefSeq, a predicted model, not a curated record
UCCUCUUUGCUGCUUUUCUCCGACCCGUCCUUCUCGUCGCUGUCUGAGGAAGAUGAGGAGGAAGAGGAGGACGAGGAUGAGGAUGAGCUGCCCCGUCGGUCCUCUGCUGAAAGGACGGGUGGUGGCUCAGAAGGAGGGAUCCAUCGCGAGCGGAGAAGGUGAGAGGAGUGGACCAGGCUGCACAGCAGAGCGACUGAAAUGUCAAGAGCGCCUUCCUUAUCAGAGAGCAACGCAGGACUUUGUACAGGGAUGGGUGAUCCCAAGGAAACACUGAUCUUUCAGCACAUUUUAUGGCUGUGGAUGAGUAAAAGGCCACAUUUUCAUAAAGUGUCUUAUCAUCAAAAACCCUGAACCAAAGAAGAUCACUCUAGCUUCAGUCAAAGCUGAGAUUAGCACGAAAAUAAACUUUACAUUAAAGUUGA